This 382-nucleotide ribosomal RNA is filed under the name uncultured eukaryote. Its description in RNAcentral is "partial 18S ribosomal RNA". It matches the Rfam family "Eukaryotic small subunit ribosomal RNA", at positions 592 to 976 of the family's 1831-position model. The record is from RNAcentral.
CAAUAGCGUAUAUUAAAGUUGUUGCAGUUAAAAAGCUCGUAGUUGGAUUUCUGGCAGGAGGGACCGGUCACACACUCUGUGUGUGAACUUGCGUUGUCUCUGGCCAUCCUUGGGAAGAUCCUGUUUGGCAUUAAGUUGUCGGGCAGGGGAUACCCAUCGUUACUGUGAAAAAAUUAGAGUGUUUAAAGCAGGCUUAUGCCGUUGAAUAUAUUAGCAUGGAAUAAUAAGAUAGGACUUCGGAACUAUUUUGUUGGUUUGCGUUACGAAGUAAUGAUUAAUAGGGACAGUUGGGGGUAUUCGUAUUUCGUUGUCAGAGGUGAAAUUCUUGGAUUUCCGAAAGACGAACUACUGCGAAAGCAUUUACCAAGGAUGUUUUCAUUAA